CUCUUUCUCUACAUCCAAGAACACAAGAUAAAUUGAGAUCUUGAAUUUGCUUGGGGCGCUGGCUGCAAAAGCCUGCUUUCUGAAUAGUCCAGUGAAGAAUACCGAAUCAACCUCAUUUCCCAAUGAGAAACCAUCUCACAGAAAAGUGAAGCCCAUUAGCUGAGGUCCAUGGUUAAAGAGUGAAUGAGUUACUACUGUCAACAGUCUGGUCUUUGCUGAUGUCUGCACUUCCCUUCUCACAUACUGUGCAACCCAGAAGGAAUACACUCUGAAGACUGUCU
RNAcentral lists this long non-coding RNA (281 nucleotides) under Equus caballus (horse). Its description in RNAcentral is "lncRNA (ENSECAG00000036243.3)". Lineage: Eukaryota; Metazoa; Chordata; Mammalia; Perissodactyla; Equidae. The record is from RNAcentral.